This 119-nucleotide ribosomal RNA is filed under the name Larimichthys crocea (large yellow croaker). The record is from RNAcentral. Lineage: Eukaryota; Metazoa; Chordata; Actinopteri; Sciaenidae.
GCUUACGGCCAUACCACCCUGAAUGCGCCCGAUCUCGUCUGAUUUCAGAAGCUAAGCAGAGUCAGGCCUGGUUAGUACUUGGAUGGUAGACCGCCUGGGAAUACCAGGUGCUGUAAGCU